This 467-nucleotide ribosomal RNA is filed under the name uncultured bacterium. RNAcentral describes it as "partial 16S ribosomal RNA". It matches the Rfam family "Bacterial small subunit ribosomal RNA", at positions 28 to 506 of the family's 1533-position model. The record is from RNAcentral.
GACGAACGCUGGCGGCGUGCUUAACACAUGCAAGUCGAACGGAAAGGCCCUGCUUUUGUGGGGUGCUCGAGUGGCGAACGGGUGAGUAACACGUGAGUAACCUGCCCUUGACUUUGGGAUAACUUCAGGAAACUGGGGCUAAUACCGGAUAGGAGCUCCUGCUGCAUGGUGGGGGUUGGAAAGUUUCGGCGGUUGGGGAUGGACUUGCGGCUUAUCAGCUUGUUGGUGGGGUAGUGGCUUACCAAGGCUUUGACGGGUAGCCGGCCUGAGAGGGUGACCGGCCACAUUGGGACUGGGAUACGGCCCAGACUCCUACGGGAGGCAGCAGUGGGGAAUAUUGCACAAUGGGCGGAAGCCUGAUGCAGCAACGCCGCGUGCGGGAGGACGGCCUUCGGGUUGUAAACCGCUUUCGCCUGUGACGAAGCGUGAGUGACGGUAAUGGGUAAAGAAGCACCGGCUAACUACGU